Molecule: long non-coding RNA, 16146 nt
Filed under: Manihot esculenta (cassava)
Lineage: Eukaryota; Viridiplantae; Streptophyta; Magnoliopsida; Malpighiales; Euphorbiaceae
Description: long non-coding RNA (MESC_LNC007030)
Source: RNAcentral
AAAAGUCUUUGGAGGAAAACCCAGGUUCGGCCGCCGAAAGUCAAGUUCGGCCGCCGAACAUGCAUGCGUUUUGGAGGCACGUUAGGCCUCCGAAAGCAUGAGUGAGGGAAGUCCAGGUUCGGCCGCCGAACCUCAUGUUCGGCCGCCGAACCUUGCAUGCAUGCGGAGGCACAUUCGGCCCCCGAACGUGGUUUGGCCAGCCACUAUAAAAGGGUCCCUUAGCCGAAAACGGGCGAGUUUUUCCCCACUUUCGGCCAAGGUGAGCUUUCCGCCGCCCCUCACCCAUUUUUGAUGUUCUUCCUCUAAAUCUUUCAAGAUUUUCACUUGUUUUCCCUUGGUUUUGAAGAUUUAAGCUUUUGAAACAAGUUUUGGAGCUUGGAAGUCUUGGAGCUAAAUCCCUCCAUUUUCCGAGCUAGGGUCGUUCUUCCUCUCGAUCUUCAAGAGGUAAGCUUCGAUCUAUGCUUCUUUUAUGUUUUAUGAAAGUUUUAUGCAAGUUGAUGGGGUAGUAUGCAUGUUUAGGCUUGUUGUUAGGUUUAUGUUGUGUUUUGAACAAUGUAUGUUUGAAGUGUUGUAGUUGGGGUAUAUAAUAGUUUGAGACCCCUAGAUGUGAUGUAUGAUGUGUAUGCAUGUGUAGAAACAAGUUUAUGCAUGUUUUGAGGCGUUUUGGAGGCUAUGGACACAAGGGAGCCAAGUUUCUGCCCUUCGGCAGAAACUCAGGUUCGGCCGCCGAAGUGACUUUCGGCCGCCGAACCCCCUUGUGGAGGCAGUUUCGGCUGCCGAAGCCUGCCCCCGAAACUCAAGUUUCGUCUCUGUCUGGGAGGUUCGGCCGCCGAAAGUGCCACCGAACCUGCAUGACUUUCGGCUGCAGAGGGACUUUCGGCCGCUGAACCUGCCGCCGAAAGUGCCCUGUUCAGCCGUUUCUCGCAUGUUUUCAUGUGAUGUUUUCAGGAUGUUUUAGGGGGUUUUUGGGGAGUAUUUUAGAGUCAUGUUCAUGUAUGUUUAGUCCCUCAUUUGAGUCCACCUGUGUAGGUUCGGACCCGAGGAACCGAGACCCCCAGCAGUGAGCCAGCUGCUUCAGAGUCUCUUCAGAGCUAGCCAGAGGUGAGUGGAAUAAACUUUAAGUUUUAAAGCAAAUUAAUGAGAUGUUUUAGCAUGAUUCACGCAUCAUGAAUGCCAUGAGAUAUAUUAGGUUGCUUACAUUAGAAUUCACGAAUAUGUUGCAUUGCAUACUUUGUUGUUGAUGUGGAUGAAUGUUGAAUGAUCCAUUAGCCCUUGUAUGUCAUGAUAGCCAUGUGAGUCCAGGUGUGCCUGCUACGGCUCUACGCCCCUGGCACUAUGACGGAUUAUGGAAGUCCGGGUGUGCCUGCUACGGCUCUACGNNNNNNNNNNNNNNNNNNNNNNNNNNNNNNNNNNNNNNNNNNNNNNNNNNNNNNNNNNNNNNNNNNNNNNNNNNNNNNNNNNNNNNNNNNNNNNNNNNNNNNNNNNNNNNNNNNNNNNNNNNNNNNNNNNNNNNNNNNNNNNNNNNNNNNNNNNNNNNNNNNNNNNNNNNNNNNNNNNNNNNNNNNNNNNNNNNNNNNNNNNNNNNNNNNNNNNNNNNNNNNNNNNNNNNNNNNNNNNNNNNNNNNNNNNNNNNNNNNNNNNNNNNNNNNNNNNNNNNNNNNNNNNNNNNNNNNNNNNNNNNNNNNNNNNNNNNNNNNNNNNNNNNNNNNNNNNNNNNNNNNNNNNNNNNNNNNNNNNNNNNNNNNNNNNNNNNNNNNNNNNNNNNNNNNNNNNNNNNNNNNNNNNNNNNNNNNNNNNNNNNNNNNNNNNNUAGAGGUGUGUGAAUCCCCAUUAUGUACAGAGUGUUUAAUGAGUAAUGAUGUUAAUGACCAUGAUUAUCCAAGCUGAUAUGUAUGAUGAUGAUACCCCAUUGGAGUAUUUGAUGAGGACUCCAGUGUGGGGUUUAUGUACGAUUUUGUGCAUGCACAGGUUUUGCUUGGAUAAGAGAAAAGAAAAUUUUUUACAGAUCAUGUAUAUGUUGUUAUGUAUGGGAUUCCACAGGUUUACAGGAGGUAUGUAGGCUUGCUACGGGUCCCGGCGGCCUUAUGCCGAUCUGGAUCCUAGUGCCGGUAACGGGUCGGAUUUCCGGGUCGUUACACCAACAUCCUGACCAGAACUGAGUUAUACAUUCUAUGGUGCAUGCACACACACAGGAAGAUCCAUCUUGGAUAUUGGGUUGCCACCCAACUGUCCAGCAUCAUGCAGUAUAACAGGCCCUUGAUUUUUGGCCUUUUGAUCACUGCCAUUGCAGUGAAUCUCAAAUUAUUGCACCCAGCACAUACUGAUCUCUCCCCCACCCCCAAAACAACUCCCUUAGACCUUCGCACAUUAGAUGACAUGGGGUUGCUUUGCAAAGUGGGGGAUAUUUUUUCCAUUGCACCUGCAGGUCCCGUAACACCACGCCAUGAGCGUAUUUUCAGAAGGAAGAAAGCCAACAAACUCACCACAGCCCAGCAGACAGCCUCCACAGAUGCCCUAGCAGGUGGGACAACAGGGGAAAUAGGGCAGGAACCAGCAGAGACAGCAACCCCAGCAGCCCCCCAGCAGGAUGCCCAUCAGCCACCUGAAGACGAAGCUCCCAACCAGACAGUAGAGGCUCGUCUCAGUAGAAUUGAGGACCGAAUGCACAUGAUGGAGCACUUGUUGGACCUGCUGGUAGACCAUUUUCUACCUCCACACCGUGGCAGACAGUGAUUUGCCCAGUGAUUUGCCCAAAUCACUAGCCAAAUCACCCACAGGCCAGGAAGUCCCUUUCCCUUUCCUUCUUAAAUCUUUUAUAUAUAUGCUUACACAUUGAGGACAAUGUUUGCAAUAGGUGUGGGGGUGUUUGGAGAACAUUUUGCACAAUCUUCACCAUGUUUAGUUUUCUUUUACAUUCUUUUUGUUUCUUUUUGCAUUAGUUUUACCUCUUUCACACACCAGAAAAUUUUUUCUUCCACAUAUAUGCACACACAUAUAGAAUUUUAUUUUUAAGCCUAUUGCUCUACUCAGCAUAGAUGACUAAGUCAAAGGAGCUUCUUACCUCAUGACCCCAUUAAAUUAUCCAACCCUUUAAACCUAAAUUGAAUCAUGCACAGUGUGUAGCCUUUACUUAGGAAGUUUUUUUUCUUAAAUUGAGUUCUUGAAACUGUUGUGGCCAAUAGGAAAGGAAAAUAAAAUACAUGCAAUAAAAAGUUAGUGUAAUUCUCUUUGAGUUGAUUUGCCCAAAUUGUUAUAAAAAGGAAAAAGAAAAAGAAAAACUCAGCAAAUCAAAAAGCACAAAACACAUUCUGUUCCUAUGAUCUAAGGCUAUGAACUGAGCUAAUAGUCACUUGGACAAGUGACCAACUGAGUAACCGGAGGUGUAUUACCCAUGUGCACUGUCGCGUAAAAAGGUUGGUGACUUUUUCAAGCAUAAAAAUAAAGUUUCGAUGGUCUAAGAUUAUGAACAGAGCUAGUAGCCACUUGGACAAGUGACCAACUGAGUAACCGGGGGUGUAUCACCCAUAUGUACCAUCGUGUAAAAAGGUUGGUGAUUUUUUCAGGCAAGGGUAAAAAGUGCUGGUAAUUAAAAAUGCUUAAAAUAGGGCAAAUCACUCUUAAGGGAUUGCAUUAAACCUAAUAUAAAAGAAUAAGCAUGAUCAAAUCAAAAACUUUCACUUGGCCAUGGUGAGUGAUAGGAAACAAGGAAAGAAGGGGACAACCUUAGUACAUGCAUCCUACACUGUAGUGUUUCAAAUUAGGAGUCUAGGGGGGCUGAUUAAGUGGUAUUUAGGCUCAAAAGAAAAGGGGGGGCUUGAUUAGCUAAGUUAUUUGUUGCUUGAGGACAAGCAAAAGGUUAGGUGUGAGGGUAUUUGAUCAAGCAUAAUUUAGCCACAUUUUUAUUAUAUUUAUUAUUGUUUAUUUACACAUUUUUCUAGCUUAAUUUGUGUUUUUGUUAUAUUUUUACAGAAAAGGAAGAAAUUGGAAAGUUGGAGAAAAAGUGAAGAAAAAGCUGGAAAAGUGAUUGGGUCAAAGUGAUUUGCCCAAAUCACUCGCAGAAACUGGCCAAAUCACUCGCAGAGACAGAGACAGAAACUGGACUGAAUCUCAGAGAGCGAUUGGGGCAGAUUGGGCAAGUGAUUUGCCCAAAUCACUCGCAGAAACUGUCCAAAUCACCUUGACAGCAGAAAUUGACAGCAGAGGCGGGAAAACAGUAGGGAACCAAAUUUUAAAUUUUCAGAAGUCCAAAUCCAACUCAAUCACUACCAACACAAUUCCAAGAGCCACGAAAGAGUUUCUCACCUAAGGAAUUCCAGUUGCAAUUGAAUUCAACAUCAAAAGAGGAAUCACAAGCCAAAUUAAAAAGGGAUUUCAAAAUCCUAGAAGGAUGGAAUUCUUCAGCUAUAAAAGGGCAGCCUCCAAACCAGCAAGAGGCAUCUUCUGAUCAGCUACUCAGCAUCUUCUCCCUUCGCCAGAAACUCUGCAGCUUCUUUCUUUCCUUUCUUUUCAUCUUUUGUGUAUUUAGUCCACCAUGAGUGGCUAAUCUCCUUCUUUUCUAGUUGAAGUUGGUGAAUUUCAGAUUUUGUGAUGAAUUGGGAGAUUUAAAUCUCCAUUGUUAAACUUCUAUUUAUUUUCAAUAUUUAUGCAAUUUGAUAUUUCCAUAAUUGUUGCUUUGCUUUUAGAAUCAAUAAGGGCCCAUUGCUUUUAAAUUGCUUAAGUAACAAAUUGUUUGAAUGAUUUAAGUCCGUAAUUGCUUAUAUUAUUUGAACACAAAUUUAAUCAAGUUGCAUGAUCUAAACUUGGCCACGCGGUUGGCAAGGUUAGAAUUAGGUUUCUCUAAGUCUUAAUGCAGUUAACAGUUGUUUGAUGCCAAAGGCCCUAAGGACAUUCAUUGGCAAAUUGUUAACUAGUGUUUGAUUAGCGAACGUUUUCUAAUCAAACUAGAAUUAAGGAGGAAUUUGGAUUGUGAGAAGCGUCUUUCACAUCCUAAACUAAUUUAUUGAGAUAAAUAGGAGUAUUAAAAAAUCAAUGAUCAAUUCUAAACAAUCUGAAAUAGAUCCAUACUUCAACUAGAAGCUUUUCUCUUAUUGAUUUACUCAAACUUUAAAUUAUUGCUUUCUUUUGCUAUUUAAUUUUAAUCAUCAAAUCAAAACCCCCCUCUUUUAUUUACUUGCUAUUUACCUAGUCAUUAUCAGGAAAGUCUUUGGUGUCAAUUCCCUGUGGUUCGACCCUAUUGCCAUUAUCUACAAGUUUAUUGUUGAUUGUCUAAUAGGUUUAUUUUUGACAGUUUCGACAACUGCUAUCACAAAGGUAUCAAAAGGAACAAGAAAAGGACUAUGGUCUGGACGAUGCCUCGCACCUAUUAAAUAAAACUCAUUAGUUAGUUUCUUAAUUUUAAAAAAUAUAUUAAACAUUCAAGAUAUUUUUAAAAAUCUAUUCAUUAGUCAUUCAUUAGUUUUAGAUAUUAUGUAUUUUACUAUUUAGUUCAUGUAGUUUAAAAAAUUCUAUUAAUUAGUCUUUAAUUUUGUAAAAAUUCAAUUAAUUAAUCCCUCAUAUUGAGGACAUUUUAAAUUUUUUAUUUUAUAAUAUUUAAUGGCUAAAAUUAAUGUAUGAAUUAAUUAGUAGAGUUUUUAAAAUAUCAAAAAUGUUUCAAUAUAUUUUUCAAAAUUAAGGGAUUAAUUAUAAGUUUUCUUAUAAUAUAGAGACUAAAUAAUAAUUUAAAAAAAUUAUUACUUAGUCCUUAUGGUAUGAAAAAACUCACUAGUUAGUUUCUCGAUUUUGAAAAAUAAUUUAAAAUGUCCCUAAUGUUUUAAAAAAUAUACUAGUUAGUCCCUCAAUUAAUUUUACUGUUAAGUAUUUUACUAUUUAGUCCCUAUAGUUUUGAAAAAUUUAUUAAUUGGUUCUUUAGAUUUUUCAAAAAUUUAUUAAUUAGUCCCUCCAUAUUAUAGGCAUUUUAGAAUUUUUUGCAAUACUUAACGGCUAAAACUAAUGGAGAGAUUAAGUGGUAGACUUUUUGAAAUGUUACUAAUAUUUUAGUGCAUUUUUCAAACUAAAAGACUAACUAGUAAAUUGCUUUAUACUAUGGGGACUAAAUAAUAAUUUUUUAAAUAAUUUUCUCAAUAUAAUUUAUAAGAUUAUGUUCAAAAUAUAGGAGAUAGAAAAAAAAUAUUAUUAAAAAUAUAUAAUUGAACUAUAAUAUCACUAAAAUUAUUAAAAUAUAUAUAAAAUUGAUUUUUUCGAUAUAAUUCUGAUUCGCUUUUGGCGCUAUUCUUGAUAAAGAACUAGAAUUAUAAUCAAAUAGCCAAAUAACUUCAGUUUUAUUUCUACAAUAUAUUGUUCAGUUCUAGUAUGAUUUAAUAUGUUUUUUAGUUUGAUUCAGAACCAUCAAAAACCAAGCACAAUAAAAAUAAUAUUUUAACUUUCAUACAUGGAAACUUGAAAAACUAUUACAUAAAACUAUUGUAUGUAUAAUAUUAUAGUUAUUAAUUAAUCAUGGUGGAUCUUAUGGAAGUCCACUAAUCAUUAUAUAUACAACGGUCGUAUGAUAAAGUUUCUUUUGAAAUUGGCUCAAUUAUUAAUGAUACAACUCUUUUCUUAGAAUUGGUAUCAGGAGCUCCAUGUCCAUCUCCAUGCUGGUAUACACAUUGAGAAAUCCUAGCAAGAUUAAUAGAUGCUUCAAUGAAAAGCUUCGUGAAAGAAUUCACCUCCGUUUGAUUAUAUUGAUUCAUCUUCUUCCAAGCAUUAUCUAUCAUUUUAUUUAUUUCUUUACGUGCAUACUCCUCUGAAACUCCAUGUUCAUCCAUAUAGCAGGAAAUUGAAUUUAUCGUUUCACCUCUAUCUAACUCACCCUGGAAAAUCACAACAUAAAGAAUCAAUUAUUUAUUCUAAAAAAAUUUAGAAAGAAUUAUUAUCAAAUCCCUGAAUUUUUAAGAAAUUCACUAAUUCAUUCUCCUUUUAAAAUCAUUUAAUUAAAACAUCUAUGUAUUUUGCAAAAUCGAACUCUUUAAUCCUUCGGAGAAAAAACUGCUAGUCAAUUUAUUUUAACUUUUGCUAGAAGGAAUAAAUAAUAUGAAUAUUUAAAAUUAUAGAGAUUAAACCAUAUGUAUAGUUAAAAUUAUAGGGACUAAACAAUAUAAAUGUUCAAGUCCAAAAUAACUAAAGAGUUGAAUUUUACAAAAUAUAGGGAUAUGUUAAUCGAGUGAAUUUCAAAUAAGAUAAAUUAAUAAAUUUUUUAAAAAUUCAAGGAAUUAAUAGUAAUUCCAUCUAAAAAAUUAGACUAUCAGUAUAAUUACGUAAUAUGAGAUUAAUGCACGUACCGAUGAAGUUGCCAAAUCAUUGCAAAGUCGAAAAACAACAGAUGGCCAUUUCAAUAUAUGAUGGUGGUUUACUAAUGAAUCGAGACCUUGUUUUAAGAUUUUUUGGUCGAGUAAAAGAUAGGCAUGCAUAAGUAUAACGGUUCCUGAUACGGAUCUCCAUCCAUUUUCAAUAUAUUCAUUAAAUGAUGGUGUCAAUUUUUUGUGUCUCCACUUUGCUUCUUGCAAGAAUGCUUUGCAUAAAUCAGCCCACUGAAAUUUAAAAAGUAUUUAUAUUGUCAAUUUCUACUCAAACCAAAUUCAACGAAUAAAAAAAAUAUUUAUCUAUAUUAUAAAAAGAUGAAAUUCUAAUUUAGAUUUGAUAUUGAAAAAAAUUUACUAUUUCGUUUUUAUGAUAUAAAAAAAAAUUAUUAAUUGAUUUUUGGUUUUGAUAAAUACAUUAAAACGUUCCUAAGAUUUUAAAAACUCUAUUUAUUAGUCCUUCCAUUAAUUUUAACUAUUAAGUAUCACAAAAAAAUUUAAAAUACUUUAAUAUUUUUUUUAAAUUCUCAGUGAUAUUUUAAUUUAUUUUUUAAAAUUAAAGGACCAACUAUUAAUGAGUUUUCCUAUACUACAGGAAUUAAAUAGUAAAUAUUUAAUUACUAAAACUAAUAGAGGAAUAAUUAGCAAAUUUUUUAAAAUUUUAAGUAUAUUUAAUAUAUUUUUUUAAAUUAAUAAACUAACUAAUGAGUUUUUCAAUAUUAUAAGAACUAAAUUAAUAAUUUUUCUUUGAUUUACUAUAAAAAAAUUCAACAAACAAAAAGUGGGAUACAUAUAUGUGGAUAUAAAUUCUUCAUCUUUAUAUCUUGAAUUUAUAAUGAAUCUUAUCUAAAUAAAAAUAAAAAAUAAAAACUUACUGAUUUUUUUAGAUAUGGAUGGACGAAUUCUCCAUGUUUUGCUAGAGUAUCAUAAGUCAUCUCAUUGACAGUAUUGUAUAAAGCUAAGAAACAUAGCUUCAUAUAUUCUGGAAGAUCUUUCACUGCAUCGAUAUCCCAUCUGGUAUGAAAUAAGUAGUAAUUAGCAUUUUAAAUUAAUACAAGAAAUGCUACAUAUUUCAUCUCUAAUACCCAACGUCAAAAUCCGCCUCAUUAAACUGAAAAUGUAAAUAAAAGCUAACUCGCAAGUCAUAUAUAAUAUUAUAAAAAUAUAUUUAAGACUGCGAUAGUAAAUUAUUGAAUUAAUAGCAAGAUAUUGAGAAUUAUUGCAUUUGUCUUUAUUAUUACGCAGAUAUUUUUUUUUUUUCAUAAGAAAUAAAAAUGCAAUUAAAAUUAUUAUCUCAUUAAAACAAAUUAUUUAUUAAAAAAAAUAUUAUAAAUGAGAUGAAAAUACCUUUCAACAACAUCCGUAAACAACUCCAAUUCAUCCAAUGUACCAUAAACAUCAUACACAUCAUCAAUAAUGGUUAUAAAUGAUCCGACUUUUGUUAGCCCUUUACGGCAAGAACUAAACUGAGGUUCAAACUCUAUUCCAACUGUCCAAAAGAAGCAUUCCAUCAGCCUAUCUCUACUGAAGGUUAAUUUGCCUGCAAGUCCCAAAUUGUUCCACCACCUAAUUCCAAAGAUAAAAUUAAGUGAAAUUACUUGAGAAAUUUACAUUGCAAACCAAAUAAACUUUUACAGCUAGCUUUUAGACAUACCUUGACAUUUCUUUAAGAUCUCUUUGGAGUAUAGAUUGAACCAUGUUGAAAUUAAUCUUUGCGAGUUGAAGCAAGGAAUGAUUUGCAUUCUUCCUCUUAUUGUAUGCUUCGAUAUACCAACGUGCUUUCAACAUAACCAUUCUUCUAUACAAUGGAAGCUCCAGUGCGUGACUAAUACUAAUUUCCAUUGUAGAAUUAUCCAACUCUGAAAGAUUUCCUUUCUGAAGAGUAUUGAUGAGAUGUGUUCUAGUUUGUGCCAUCGCCUCAUCUAAAAGAUCUUCUCCUUCAAAGCCCAAAGAUGAAGCUUCAUACAAACUUAGCAUUCCUUUAACAUCCUUCUUGUAGAUUGCCAGAAGAUUAUCCUUAUCGUCCAUGAAAUUUUUGAACUCAUCUACACGUGUCAAGUAAAACAAUCUUUAAUUUCUCCGUAUUAGAGGGUAUUUUAGACUUUUUUGCAAUACAUAACAACUAAAACUACCAGACUAACUAGUAGACUUUUUAAAAUGUCAGGAAUGUUCUAAUGAAUUUUUUAAAAAUUGAGGAAUCAACUAGUGAGUUUCUCUCUACUAUAAAGACUAAAUAGUAAUUCUCCCAAACAAUAAUGAUACCUUGAGAAACCUCGUAACCAUGUUGUCUAAGAAGCCUGAACAUGAGAGAAGUAGCAUGAAGAGAUUUCUGAGUCCACAAAUUACGUCCUUCUGAAUCCACAAAUCUAUCAAGAACUCUCUUUAUGUCCUUCUCAAAGCGGAAUGCUAAUCCCAAACGUUGGAUGUCAUCAAUCAGUUCAAGAAUGGUUAAGAAAUCCUCAUUUUCACUAUAAAUUGCUGCUCUUGUUUCCUCCUCCAACUUCCUUGCUUUGUCUUUGUACAGCAAGUCCUGAAUUAAACGUACACAUUCCAAGCUUAAUUGCAAGAAAAUGUUCAUCAGCAACAAUAAGACUAAUAUACAGAAAAUAGAUAAUAGUACUCACUGCAUUUUCAUUCUUUAAGGACUGUAUAAAGCUGUGACUCCAAACAGUAGGUUGGUAAUUGGAAGAUUGUCUUUGAUUUUGAGAAUAAGUUUUCUGAGAUUGAGUUUUCUGAGCCUUCACUGAGAGAUUGGUGGCCAUUUCUUUAGACAAUAUUAUGAAAUAUGGUUCGAGGAUAUGAGGAAUCUUCAUACGGCCUUGCUUAAAUAGACACUUGGUUUAGUGCCUUGUUCAAAUUAUUGUACUGUCAUAUAAACGCGAGUUCACUUUCAUGCACGUUUUUAUACAGUGCAAAAUGUCAUGUUCAUUGAACCUUCAUCUUGUACUAAUUAUGUUCCUGAUCUACGAAACGCUAUAUAUAGGACAAAAAAUUAUAUUAUUAUGGUUAGAGUGAGCAGUAUUCGAUUCAAAUCAAAAAAAUUGAUCAAACUGAAUUAAUUUAAAAAUUCAGUUUGAUUUUUUAUUUAUUUUAGUUCAGUUUGGUUUUUAAUUUUAGAAAUUUCGGUUAUUUCAGUUUGGUUCAGUUUUUAUCAGAAAAAAAUCAAAAAAAUCGAACCGAACCGAUUAGUGAUAAUAAUAUAUAUUUUUCAAUAAUAUAAGAAAAUUAAAUCAUAUUAAGAUUAAAAUAUUUUAAUUAAAUUUUAAAAUAUUAAAAAUAAAGUGUAAAAAAUAAAAAAAUUUAUUAAAAAUCAAAACUGAUCAAAUCGAACCUAAUCAAUCUGAAUUAGACCGAUUAAGUUCGAUUCGGUUUUUGACCAAAAUCGAUUUGAUUUGGUUUUUAUAAAUACUAAAAUUUUAAUUUUUAAUUUAUUCGAUUCGAUUCGAUUUUAAACCAAAUUUACACCCCUAAUUACAGUGUGAUUUUAUGUAGUAAAUUUUAUAUAGAAUGAUAAAUCAAUUGAAAUACUAAUAUUUCAGUGAUUUUGGAUUCUAUAAAUAUGGAAGUCGACUAAAAAAAAUAUCAAAUAAUUUUAUUUUUAUAAUUAAAUAGGUUUACAUGUUAAUUUUUUAUUGGCCUAUCAUUUCAUAUAUUUGUCUUACAUAAAUUCACGAUGUAUCGAAUAAUUAGUCCAAAUCAUGUGGGAUAAUUUUUUGCAUAUAUUGUAUAUCCAUUUUUACGGUAUACUCAAAAUAAUUCAUACCAUACGAAAAUUUUGCCUAUUAGAAAUAAUUUAGAAAAAAGGCGUUGAAGUGGACGAAGGUUGUUGAAAUAGGUCGAGUUUUGGCAUAAAGUUUCUGUUAAUAAGUAUAGCGCAAUAUAUUUUCAUUACGCAUGUAAUCGCAGGAUUACCGACCUAUUAGCUGGCGAGAUCCCUUAUCAAGUAGUCACUUACAUCAUCGCUGAAUUAUUAGAAAAUGUCAUAUUUAUCUCAAUAUUUUUAUAGUAUAAAAGGAGAACGAUCACAGAGGCAAAUGUACACAAUUCUCUUACACAACUAUUCUCAAGUUUUAUGUUCGGCCCAUUCUCUAGUUUACUGACUUGAGCGUCGAAGUGGCUGCCAUGGGCACCCACCAACUCACGUUCUCCUUUUUGCAGGUUUAGUCAAUCACAACAUAACUCUGUUUUUCGACCGUAUCAUUUGGUUCAAUUUCUGAGAAAUCCAUUGAAUUCUUUCUGAUUCAUUUGGGUUACAUGUCAUUGUAGGAGGACCUGACAAGGGCAAAGGGAAAAAUAAAUACGUAGUAGAAGAUGUCCUAUUAAUUGAACAGGAGCCAUAGGCUAAGCAGGAAGUAAGGUUUGGUCUUGCAGACAAAGCGAUUGAAUUCUUUCAAAAUGAUCCGCUGGUUGUCAAGUUCUUUCUAAAUAAGUAUGAAGUAAGGCGAGUAUUGGUGGAUAUAGUUAGUUCUGUUAAACUUCUCAUCUUAAAUGUUUUUAAAAAGUUAGGCUUCGAUAAAAGUAGUCUUGUCAUAGUUUUCUAUUCGUUAGUAGGAUUAGGAGAUAAGACAGUGGCAGUACUGGACACCAUUAACCUCCCUCUAGUGUUGGGCGACAAAAAAUAUAGGCGAGAGUUGUAUGCAGAGUUUACAGUGGUAGAUAUCCCAUUUGCAUACAAUAUGAUACUUGGCCAUCCAGUUAUAAACUACCACGGUAUUGUUAUUAAUAUAGAUGUUAUGUGUUUUAAGUUACCAGCUCUAGGGGGAUAGCUGUGGUUUGAGGUAACCUGAGAUUGGCCAAAGAAUGUUACGGACACCCCGCAAAAAGUCUCUGGAAAGUAUUAAUGUCCAUCAACUUGAUAGAGAAGCCAGAGCCAACAAACCCAAUAGAAGAGAUUCAGUUAGAUAAGGAUCAAAAGGUAUGGUUCAGUACUGCGUUAACCGCCGAAAUAAAGGCUCGUUUAAUAGAUUUGCUAAAGUGUCGAGUAACCACUUUCACUUGGUCUCCAAAAGAUGUAACAGGAUUGGACCCGACUCUCAUCACUUAUAAGCUGUCUAUUAACAAAUCUGUCAAGCUGGUCCAACAAAAGAAAAGGAGGUUCACCCUAGGAGACAACAGGUAAUCAAAGAGGAAGUUGACAAGCUAUUAAGUGCAGGAUUAAUAAAGGAAGUCCAGUAUCCCACAUGGCUCACCAAUGUGGUACUGGUGAAGAAGGCUAACGACAAAUGGAGAAUGUGCAUGGAUUUUACUGACCUGAAUAAAGCGUGUCUGAAAGAUCAUUACUCGUUACUGUCUGUCGACAAGUUAGUAGACUCGACCUCGGGUCACGCAAUGAUUUCCUACUAUAAGGUGAUACCAUUUGGAUUAAAGAAAGCCAAAGGUAACUGGCCCAAAGAAUUGCCUCACAUAGUAUAGGUAUACAGGAUAACCCCGAGGAUAGCCAUAGGAGAAAUGCCCUUUUCUCUUGUAUAUGGGGCCAAUGCAGUCAUCCCCAUGGAAAUCCAAGUAAGUAACUUUAGGAUACAACAUUCUGAGAUUUCAGGGAAUCUCAAAGAAAUGCAAUCCAAUUUGGAUCAAGCCAAAUUCCUACAAGAAAAGGUCGCAAUCAGAAUGGCGACUUACAGAAACAAAAUGUCUAGAAAGUUCAAUAGUAAGAUCAGGCCGCGUGCUUUUAAUGUGGGGGGCUUAGUCCUUAAAAGAACAAAUGUAACAAGCGGUAGUGUCAGGUCUAGUAAGUUGGGCGAGAAAUGGAAAGGACCGUUUAGUGUCUCAAAGGUCAUUCGCCCAGGGUCCUAUAAGUUGGCCAAGCUAAAUGGUUGAGUCAAUCACCAUUCCUGGAAUAUCUAUAUUAUGAGAAAAUUUAUCAAUAACAAGUUAACGAGGAAUUUUUUUAUAUGUUGUGCUGAAAUGUCCCACAUCAUUAAAGUGCGAAAAAAAUAAAAGUAUACAUAAUAACUAGCACGAAACUACUAAAUAACUUGGGUUAACCAUUUUGUGCCAAGUUGAAAAUGGGUCCAAAAGUUAUUUGGGUCAGUUUGGGCUGGGUUGUUACAAUUGGUAUCAGAGCACCCUGACUCAAAAAAAUUGAGCGGAGCUAGUGGGUUUGUAAGGAAAGGGCUAUCCGUUUGAGACGAGAUGGAGCCGCUCGAGACACUAGCGAACCACAAUAUUCAAGGGUUCGAUCCUAACUUAACAAUUGUAUCCAAUUCAAUUGCAACGAGGACGUUGCAAAAUUUAGAGGGGGAGAUGAAACGUCCCACAUUGUUAAAGUACGAAAAAAAUAAAAUUAUAUAUAAUAACUAGCACGAAACUAUUAAAUAACUUGGGUUAACCAUUUUGGGUCAAGUGAAAAAUAAGUCCAAAAGUUAUUUGGGUCAGUUUGGACUGGACUAUUACGUGUACUCUUCAGUGAUAAGAAACGAUAUGAUUGCCUUCCUAAAAAAAAUUAAGGAAACAAGAAGAGACUAUAAGGUGGGUUUCGCUAGACCAGAUCAUAAGGCGGAUUCAACCACACCACAAUUCAAGUAUUGGUCCCACUAAACAUGGUCACAAGGCGGUUUUCACUAGACCAAAUCACAAGAUAGGUUCUACCAGACCACAAUUCGAGCAUCGAACCCACCAAUAAAGGCGAUAAGGUGAGUUUCACCAAGCCAAGUCACAAGGAGAGAUCAGCCAGACCACAAUCCGGGCAUUGGUCCACUAAACAAAGUCACAAGGCGGGUUUUCCCAGGCCAAGUCACAAGGUAGCUUCCCGCAGGCCACAAUUCUAGCAUUGGACCCACUAAUCAAGGCCACAAAGCGGAUUUCGCCAGGUCAGGUCAUAAGGCGGGUUCCGUCAGACCACAAUCCGGAUGUUAGUCCCACUCAAUAAGGCCAUAAGGCGAGUUUUGCUAGGCCAAGCCACAUGGUGAGUGUAAGCCAGGUCAGAAAAUCAGGUGUUAGUCCCACUAAUCAAAUCAUUCAUGCCAGUCCACAAUCUGGGUGUUAGUCUCACUCAAUAGAGCAUCUUGUGCUAGGCUAACGGGCGAGCAACAAAGUCAUUCAUGACAGGCGAACCUAGGGAUGCCAAUCCCUAAAAGACGAAGGUGUCAAUCAAAGGUUAAAGAUAAGGGGGCGAGUCUUAUGAUCCAAUCUCAAGACACGUGACCAGGUAUAAGUCCCAUAUUGCAAAAUUCCUCUAAGGCAUUCCAUGAUCAAAAGGUGGGAGUCUGCCAAGCCAGAUAUCCAGGUAUUGAUCCUAUUUUGUAAAAAUUCUUCAAAUUAUUUUAUGAUCGAUAAUUGGGUGUUAAGCCCUACUAAGUGAACCUGUACCAGCCCCCUUUCUUGGGCAAAAAACAGUGGUCACCAAGUUCUUAAUUGGUGAUAACCCCUUGAUCAAUUGCUAAAAGAUUAUUUAAGAUAUUAGUAGCGUGAGUACGGGACAAAAGUAGAUUAUGCAAAAGUAAAAAUAAUGAUGACAUAUGCAAAAUAUAUAUUAUCAUUUCAAAAGAUCACAGGGGAAGAGGAAGGUCUUCAGUUUUCUCCUCCCAAGAUUCCAUUACAUCAGUAUUUCCUACAUCUAUUACAUUAUGAACAAAGAUCCGGUCGGCGGGGUUUUCCUUUAGCUUGCCCCUCGCUCUCUUGCUUGACCUCAUCCUCCGAGAAGAUGUCGUCUAUCCAAGUAAAGCCUUAUGCAGGGGAUCAUGUCUCCGGUUGCCUUCUGGCUGACCUUCAAAAUCAAUCUUGCACAAUCCAACUCACUCCAAGAGUCUCAACAUUGGAAACCAUUAAAGAGGCUUACACCAUAGCCAGCACAAACCCCUUUAUAAGAUUAAUAUAGCCAGGCUGAUUUCAGUCCUCAAUCAAUAUCGUAAAUACCCAGUUCAUCAUCAAGAGUCCCCCUCCCCAAAUUAAGUCGAGUCUAGGCAUAAAAUUAUCGUUAACAAGUACAACCCAGUAUAUUCCCAUUACGCUUAUAAUUACGGUAUCACCGACCUAUUAGCUAGCGAGAUCCCUUAUUAAGCAGCUGGCGAGAUCCCUUAUUAAGCAGUCUGCGAUAUCAUUGCCGGAUUAUCAGAAAAUGCGAUAUUUAUCUCUAUUUUUUUACAGUAUAAAAGGAGAAUGAUUACAGAUGUAAAUGUGCACAAUUCUCUUUGUAAUACCCGGCUAGACUCUGGUAUCGGAAUUCCUACCGUCCGGUGGAAUCUCGAAUGUUGGAAGCCUUUAGUAGGGUAGAAACAUGUUUUCAUAAAAUGUUUUAAAGCAUUUCAUGGUUUUAAGUAUGAAAAUUAAAUGAGUUUUUGCAUGAAAAGUCUUUGGAGGAAAACCCAGGUUCGGCCGCCGAAAGUCAAGUUCGGCCGCCGAACAUGCAUGCGUUUUGGAGGCACGUUAGGCCCCCGAAAGCAUGAGUGAGGGAAGUUCAGGUUCGGCCGCCGAAAGUCAAGUUCGGCCGCCGAACAUGGCAUGCGUGCGGAGGCACUUUCGGCCCCCGAACGUGGUCUGGCCAGCCACUAUAAAAGGGGCACUUAGCCGAAAUGGGCGAGCUUUCUCCCAUUUUCGGCCACAGCUAGCUUCCGACCUCCCUCUUCCCAAUCUAGUGUUCUUCCUUCAAAUCCCCACCAUUUUUCUUAAGUUUUAAGCUUGCAUUGAAGAUUUUGAACUUUUGAAACAAGUUUUGGAGCUUUGGGAACCCAGGAGCUCAUUUUCGUGGAUCUCCAAGUUUAGGUCGUCUCCCUCUCGAUCUUCAAGAGGUAAGAGCCGAUCUUAAGCUCCUUAUAUGUUUUAAGUAAGUUUUAAGUUGUUUUAUGGGUAGAGAUGCAUGUUUAGGCUUGUUGAU